This 87-nucleotide transfer RNA is filed under the name Flavobacteriales bacterium. RNAcentral describes it as "tRNA-Leu". It matches the Rfam family "tRNA". From Rfam's summary of the family: Transfer RNA (tRNA) molecules are approximately 80 nucleotides in length. Their secondary structure includes four short double-helical elements and three loops (D, anti-codon, and T loops). Further hydrogen bonds mediate the characteristic L-shaped molecular structure. tRNAs have two regions of fundamental functional importance: the anti-codon, which is responsible for specific mRNA codon recognition, and the 3' end, to which the tRNAs corresponding amino acid is attached (by aminoacyl-tRNA synthetases). tRNAs cope with the degeneracy of the genetic code in two manners: having more than one tRNA (with a specific anti-codon) for a particular amino acid; and 'wobble' base-pairing, i.e. permitting non-standard base-pairing at the 3rd anti-codon position. Lineage: Bacteria; Pseudomonadati; Bacteroidota; Flavobacteriia; Flavobacteriales. The record is from RNAcentral.
GCUCGAGUGGUGGAAUUGGUAGACACGCAAGACUUAAAAUCUUGUGUCCAUUAGGACGUAUGGGUUCAAGUCCCAUCUCGAGUACGA